GAUAGCAUUUAAUGUGUAUUUCCUAAAGCCAUUUACAAUCAUUUAAGACCCUGUAGAGAAUAUCAGGCUUACCUUGAAUUUGGAAGGCAUCUAGCUGGGCUGCUAGUUCACGGUGUAACGAGUCAUCUGCUUCUGCCCCGUUUAUAUUUCAACAAGUAUAUUCCCAACAAAAACGUAAACUUUGUAUGUGGGCGUGCUUUCAUAAUUGGUGUGCUGCAUUUCUUUAUGCCUGGUGUGGUGGCGCUGGAGUAGUGUUGUCGUUCAGCAAGGUAAGAUCGCCACGGACAGCAGCACGAAAACAUCAGCAAUGUCGCCGGCUGUCGCUGGUCGGGCUGCGCUGAGCGAUCCACCGUCGUCUCUGGACUGCUCCUCGCUGGCGGCUGACUUGUGUCCUGACCCGGUCGAUGUCUGGCUUCACGGCGUCACACUCAUCGCUGCAUCGGCGCCCGACGAGCGCAUGCCCUGCUCUUUGUGUGCCGGCGUCGACGACAACGAGCUGCUACAAUGCAUCGCCUGCGCUGCCCGAUACCACCUGCACUGCGUGGAUGAAACGGAGGUGCCUCUUUCGCAAUCAGAGCAAGAGGCAUGGACGUGUGGUGACUGUCGACAGAACCGUGACAGUCAGACCACACUGUCGCCUGUUGAACAGCAUCGCUAUCACCGAUGUGGGGAUGGCCAUCUGAACGGCUGUGCGGUUUCUCUGAGUCCCAGCACUACGCUCAA
Molecule: long non-coding RNA, 723 nt
Organism: Pollicipes pollicipes
Lineage: Eukaryota; Metazoa; Arthropoda; Thecostraca; Pollicipedomorpha; Pollicipedidae
Exons: 3
Source: RefSeq, a predicted model, not a curated record